Molecule: ribosomal RNA, 497 nt
Filed under: uncultured bacterium
Lineage: Bacteria
Description: partial 16S ribosomal RNA
Rfam family: Bacterial small subunit ribosomal RNA
Source: RNAcentral
GAUGAACGCUGGCGGCGUGCCUAAUACAUGCAAGUCGAGCGAACGGAUGAGAAGCUUGCUUCUCUGAUGUUAGCGGCGGACGGGUGAGUAACACGUGGAUAACCUACCUAUAAGACUGGGAUAACUUCGGGAAACCGGAGCUAAUACCGGAUAAUAUUUUGAACCGCAUGGUUCAAUAGUGAAAGACGGUCUUGCUGUCACUUAUAGAUGGAUCCGCGCUGCAUUAGCUAGUUGGUAAGGUAACGGCUUACCAAGGCAACGAUGCCUAGCCGACCUGAGAGGGUGAAUCGGCAACACGGAAACUGAGCACCGGCCAAGCUCCCACGGGGAGGAAGAGGUAGGAAACUUCCCGAAUUGGGCGAAAGCCUGCGGGAGAAACCCCGGGGGAGUGAGAAAGGUCUCCGGAUCGAAAACCUUUGUAAUUAGGGAAGAAAAUAUGUGUAAGUACUUGUGACGUCUUGACCGGUCCCUAACAAGAAAACACCGGUUAAUUCGGU